This 253-nucleotide ribosomal RNA is filed under the name uncultured bacterium. RNAcentral's name for it is "partial 16S ribosomal RNA". It matches the Rfam family "Bacterial small subunit ribosomal RNA", at positions 524 to 776 of the family's 1533-position model. The record is from RNAcentral.
UACAGAGGUCUCAAGCGUUGUUCGGAUUCAUUGGGCGUAAAGGGCGCGUAGGCGGUUGGAUAAGUCAGCUGUGAAAACCACGAGCUUAACUCGUGGCCUGCAGUUGAGACUGUCUGGCUUGAGUGUGGGAGAGGAGAGUGGAAUUCCUGGUGUAGCGGUGAAAUGCGUAGAUAUCAGGAGGAACACCGGUGGCGAAGGCGGCUCUCUGGACCACAACUGACGCUGAGGCGCGAAAGCUAGGGGAGCAAACAGG